GGGAAGGUAGCUCAGUGGUAGAGCGCUUGCCUUGCAUGCCGGAGACCCUGGGUUCGAUUCCUCAGCACCA
Molecule: non-coding RNA, 70 nt
Organism: Dipodomys ordii (Ord's kangaroo rat)
Lineage: Eukaryota; Metazoa; Chordata; Mammalia; Rodentia; Heteromyidae
Source: Rfam